UUGCUAAUCUCAAACCUCUGUUUCACUUUCUUUACAAAGCCAGUAAUUGCAGAGAGGAUCUGGAGGAGCUGGAGCCACUUGAGAUGAGUGACUUGGGGGAGGAGCAGAGACCUCCAGAAGUCCCAUCCUGCCUCAGUUGUGCUGCUGCUCUGGUGCUGGUUUGAAAAGAAGAGGAGUUAAACCUUGCUAGUUCUGCAGAGGCAAGAAAGCUGUGGGAGAUGCACUCUGCCUCACCAGAGAGUUGUGUCCCAGACUGAGGGCUCCUGAUUUUAAUCGUGUGCUGAGGACUAGGGAUGCAGUCUUGAAGCAAAUCCAGCUGAGGUGUGGAGCAUCCUACCACUGUGAGCAGGACCAGCACUGUGCUGUCACCAGCAGGAGUUGUGGGACAUUGCUGGGAGCUGAGUCUUGAGCUCAGGAACUUUUGGGUUGGAUUCUGGCCUGCUGUGACUCUCCCUGUGCUGAGGAUGACACAGGGCCAGAGUGAAGGCAGGGUCAGGGCAGAGCUGCUCUUGCUGGCUGGCAGAGCAGGGCUUGCAGGGCAGCAGAGCUUUAGCAGGGACUGGGGAAUUGUCUCUCCUUGGCUGCGAGUUUGAAUCCAUCUCAGGACAGCCAUGUCUGAAAGAUUCUCCUCCAACAGUUUCACUUGCCACAUGUCUGUAGUUCUGCUCCCUCCCACUAGUGCAGUGAGCUCCUCAGCACCUUGUCUGGUGGACACAGGGCUUUCUGUAGGAAAGGUGCAUCCACAGGGGAAUGGAGAUCCACGUGUGGGAGAAAGGCCACGGCAGCUGCCCAGGCAGAUCAGACCCAUUGUGUUCUUAACUCAGAACCAUACCAGGGGCAGAGAGCUUUCCUGUCUCUGGCUUUCCUGUGCCUGAGUUGAGCCCACUGUAACCGCGUGGGCUUCACAUGGCCAACUGAGUGUUGCCUUUAUCACACCAUGGCUGUUUGAAUCCCAAGCCUGCUGGGGACCUGUCAAGCCAGGCAAGAUUGGCCCCACAGCCCUGCAGAUGGGACCAGUUGGUAUGAAACCUGUGGCCUCUGGAUCAGUACUGACUCUCAUUAAAACAAGCUAUUUCCAAGACCAUUUGUGCUGGGCAGGAGCAGAUGUAGAAAUUUUCUAACCUCCUCUCAAAUUACUUGGUUGAGAAGAAAAGACCCUCAGAGCAUCACAGGUCUAACAUUUGAUUUCCCCAUCAAGCCUGCUCAGCAUCUUGCAGGAUUUGCCCUCCUGCAUCCUGCCUUUUAAUUGCUGACUGAUUGUAAUAUAGGAUUUUAUUUUCCCUAUAAUGACUCUUGGGGCCCCCAGAUGUUCUCCUCAAGUGUGGUUGCGUCAGCACUAGAGAUUGAAUGACUGAUACCAGCAAUUUUUACAGCUUGAAAGAAGAGAAAUAUGUGAAGGGGAUUUAAUUUAGCUCCAAUAUUGUGUCUUCAUCUUCAAGACUCUACAAGAAAAUGACACCAAAAGGUUAUUUUACAAUGAGAGGAGGGAGAAUUAGCCCGAGAGAGGGAGAGAUCACCAGGCUGGCUUUCUAAUAUCAGUUCAUUACAGAGAACACAUUUGUGCAGCCACUUCACUGCUGCUGUUAAUUUAAACUGGGAUGAUUAAAAGCUGUAAUUGCACCAUUUUGAAUAAAUGUCCACUAUCUGGAUUAUUAUAU
Zonotrichia albicollis (white-throated sparrow) is the source of this 1658-nucleotide non-coding RNA. The record is from RefSeq and is a predicted model, not a curated record. Lineage: Eukaryota; Metazoa; Chordata; Aves; Passeriformes; Passerellidae.